RNAcentral lists this ribosomal RNA (570 nucleotides) under Triticum aestivum (bread wheat). Its description in RNAcentral is "partial small subunit ribosomal RNA". The record is from RNAcentral. Lineage: Eukaryota; Viridiplantae; Streptophyta; Magnoliopsida; Poales; Poaceae.
AUGCAAUUCAUUAAAGCCUCGUGCGCUGAAUUUUCAGGCUCGAAGUCCCAAACCUCGCCGCAUCCGUACCGUACCUGGUCCGUGGCGCGGUCGGAGUCGCUGGCCAUCGAAGCCGCCGAGUCACCGUCGUCGUCGUCGUCUCCGCCGCCCUCGCCGUCCCCGUACUCGGGCGCCUCGGAGCCGGCGUCCGCGUCGGAGAGCGAGGCGCCGAGAUCGGCGUCGCCCAUCCCGUCGAGCGUCUGCCGGAGCUCCUGCAGGAGCGCCUCCAGCCUCUGGCGCCGCAGCCGGACCUUCGUCGGCGGCCGCCGCGGGGGCGGGGGCGGCGCCGCCGGCGAGGAGGUGGAGGGCUGCUCCAUCGGGGGAAACCCUAUCGCCGGAGGAGGAGGAGGCGACGCCGGACUGGGCUUUGCGUGGCGUCUUCUGCUACUAAUUGCUUUGCUUUUGCUACAUGGACAGACGAGACGUGGUGUUUUCCGUGCGAUGAUUGGAUUAUUAACCGGAAAGGUGUUUUUGCUGCUUCGGUUUCGUCUCCGACGGUGCUUCCUCCCUGCACACGGUGUUCACUACUAA